AUGGGGAAUGUAUUGUGUAUGUUCAUCUUACUGAUUAAUGAAUAAAGUACUUGUUUGGCCAAUGAGACAACAAGUUAGACGGGACUAGGAGUCAAAGAGGAUUCUGGGAAAUGUAGUAGAGAAGUGGUGAUCCAGACAGGAAGUGACAUAGCAAGGAGACUCAUUUAAACAAGGAGAAACAGGAAAUGUCCCUUUUCCCCUUCCUCCUCCAGCAGCGCCAUGUGAGCCACCAGCAAGAGAGGGUGCCAGCAAAAGGCAUCCUCUAUAAGAUAAGUCUUAUAAAAUAUAUAGAUUUAUGAUAAUUAAGACUGAGCUAAAAGAUGAGGAAUCCUAGUCAUUGGCCAAGCAGCAUUUGAACCUGAUACAGGUUUCUGUGUAUUAAUUUGGGCCCUAACUCGGGCAUGCAGCUGGUAUAAAGCACACAUGUGGCAGUGGGGCUCGUCAGCUUUUGGCAGAAAGAUUUAUUGUAACAGAAUGGUGUCAGUAAGCAGGAUGACCCCAUGCCCCAAGAAAGUGGGAAACCUGCCGCCACAGCCUGCCCUAUCUGGCCACUGAGCUGCAUCGGAGCAGCUUCCAUACGCUCACACCAUUGCCGUGCUCUUGGUCAUUGGACUCCGCACUCCUGAGAUGAUAAAGACAGAUCCAGAUAAAGAAAAACCCCUAAAGGUUUACACUGCAUUUAAAAAUAUAUGUAGGCUUGUGAGAGAAAAAAAUAACUGGAGGAAAUAGAGUAGCCAGUUGUGGUGGAGCACGCUGGUAGGAUUUGCUGAAGGAAGUAGAGGCAGGCGGAUUUCCACAGAGAAACCCUGUCUCAGAAAAAAGAAAAAGGAAGUAAAAGUAAAAUAGUAAAAAAAGCCACCUAGAGAUGAAAAAUACACAGAAUCUGGAUACUUUAUGCCAUAUUGUUGUCUUUAAAUUGUUUGAUUGCCGAGGAAAGACUUACUGCUGCUAAAAUACAUUUGAUUAUAAAUGCUGCUAAAUUAAUCCAACUUACACAUUUUAAAAAUGCUUUGACUUCAAAAUUUAAGUCUAAGGACAGGUGACUUGGAAAAAGAAUUUCUGUUUGUGUUUCCACAGAAAAUAAGAAGCUAUGGAUUCCUUCCAGACUAAUAUGGUUUGAUCAAGCAAGACCCUCUGAAGCUGAGACGAUACAGCCUUACAGACUACAAAAACAAGGACUUGAAAAUACAGAUUAUCAAAACUGGAUCAAGAUAAGACAGGAAGUCUGAAUAGACAAGAAUGUAAACCUGCAACCUGAAAUGCUUGUGACUCCAGAGCUCCAGAGUGUGAGGCAAGAAAAGUAGUCCAUUCCAGGUGGUUUACAAACACAUGGAAUAGUCCUCACCACACAAGAACUACCUCCACAGAACAAGAUGGCAGAAAUGAAGACUUGUGUUCUGUUGACUUCUCCUUGGAGACAAACCCUAUCCAUUUCAGAUAGUGCUGAGAAUUACAGACCUAAGAAACAAUCCCAUCAAUUGCAACUUGGUAAACUAAUGAGUUUAGUUUGGGUCACUUAUGGGUGAAGCAAUGCCUAAAAAAGCAUGGGCACUACACCAUCAAAAACCAGUUGUCUGGUCCCCCAAGGUAUCUGCAAGCUUGCCCAUAUCCCCAUUUGGAGAGGUGAGUAUCUGGGACCCCGGCUAGAGGACACUGCCCUGUGGGUCCUAAGCAACCAGGGCACUUGCUGUGUCCCACUCAUACCCACUGAAGCCCCAGAGUCCUGGAAGCAACCUCCCCACACCCUAGACUAUCACAAAUGACAUCUGUGUGUACAAGAGCUUUGACCCUGCCUAUACCAGGAGAACCCCAGAGCUGUAUCAGCAUCUGGCAGCACCUGUAGGAAAAGCAACUACCUAAGCUACAGGACCCACAUACACCAAUUGAAUGAAGGUAGACCCCCCCUGAAGCACAGGCCCCACCUGCACCCACUGGAGGAAGAGAUGGGUAGACAACAGUGUAAGAAUACAUUCAACAACAUAAAUAGCAGUAUGGCACCACAAAAACUAAAGGUUCUACACCAGCAAGACCUGAGCAUCCCAACACCAAUGAAGCAGAUGAAAACAUUAAAAAUAACUUUAUGAAGAUAAUAGAGAAUCAUAAAGAGAAAGUGAAAAAUCCCCUUAAAGAAAUGGAGGAAAAGAAGUCAAGAAAUUGCUUAAUGAAAGGAAGGAAAUCAAACAGGUGAAAGAAACAUUUCAAACAGUUCAAGACUUGAAAACUAAAAUAGAGGCAAUAAAGAAAACACAAAUCAAAGGAAUGUUCGAAAUGGAAAAUCUGGAUAAACAAUCAGGAACUAGAGAUGCAAGCAUAACCUACAAAAUAUAAGAGAUGGAAGAAAGAAUCUCAGGUGUUGAAGAUCCCCCCACAUUCACUCAUCCUCCAAUGAGUAUCAACAAAGCAUGGCAUAUCAAGUUGAGGUAGGACUAAACUCCUCUUCUUGUAUUAAGGCUGGGCAAGGCAACCAUCUUGACUAAAGGUGACCACAUAGAGUGGGCCCACCAAGGAGACUUCAUGUCUCCAAGAUACUUUGGAUUAGGAUCUAUUUCUGUAUGAUAAUUUCUGUCCUGUCCUAAAAACAAGGUUUAUGAAAGAUGGGAUUUAAAACAAUGACAAUUUAAUGAGGUAUUAAUGCUGCACCUCCAUGAAUUCAUGUACAGGGACAUAACUUUCUGGCUGCCCAAUUUUAUAACAUGAGUAAUUCCCUUUGUAUAUUGAUUUUAGAAACACUAAAUUGUUCAUACUGUGAAAACUGCACUUUGCCUUCUAGAACUACUAAGCUGCUUAUACCUAACAGAUAACAGCCCCCUGAUCCUCAAAUGCUUCAGAGAUUUGAGAAUAUGGAAUUUAAUUUUUAAAAAGGCUUUUCAUGAUAGAGACAUGCCAGCUCCUGUCAGCACACCACCUCCUCCAAGAAAGAUGGAUGGGCAUAGAAGAACCUCCACCUGGAGCUUGCUUUAAAUUUAACAAAUCCAGUCAUGGAACAGAUAAAGACUGCCUUUCACCUCAACUGCCGCCAAAAUUCUGCCCAUACUGUAGACAAUCAGGACACUGGAGAAUUGAUUACCCCACUUUGCCAAGACAGGAUAGGACAGUCCCCCCAAAUUCUUAUUCCACAGGAAAGUCUAUUAGAUCUUCUGGGCCUGGCAGGUGAAGAUUGAUACUGCCCUGGGACCUCUGUCCCCAACAACCACAGGUAGCUGGUAAGCUAUUUCACUUUGCUUACUCAGGCAAAAUUUAUCCUUCUCAGAUCUGAUGGGGUUUGAUGACUAGGAUACUGAUAGAUUUGCCAGUUUAACUGCUCUCACCACUACAUCCCAAGGCUACAAACCACCUUGGUAGCUCAUUAGUUAAGCUUCUUGUUAAAAAAUACUAACGGGUUUGCCUUGUUCACAGGCUUCAUAGUAAAGGAUAAAUAGGCUUCAGGAGUCAGUGGGAUCAUGCUCAGUGGGAGGUAUGGGUGAAGAAGCAUCCAAAACUGCCAUAACCUCAGGAAUCUGUUUCUUGAGGAAGCAGAGAAGGCAAGUUGCUAGAAGAAAAAACAGAUUAUGAACACCAGCCCUUCAAGUCUCUGAAGAAACGAACUGGAGAAAAUAUCAGAAGAUAGAAAGAUCUCCCAGGCUCAUGUAUAAGUAGGAUUAAGACAGUAAAAAUGGUCAUCUUACCAAAAGCACUCUUGGAACUCCUUUCCUCCUGUUGGGCUGCCCUGUCCAACUUUGAUAUGCUAUGUUUUUGUUGUUUGGUUGUUACCUCUUAGAAGCAUGAAAGGGAGUGGAUCUGAAGGGCAGAGGAUGUGGUAAGUAGGAGGAGUAAAGGGAAGGGAAACUAUAAACAAGAUCUAUUGUAAGAAAAUUUUAUUUAAAAAAAAGAAAACUAAUUCUACAGUUACAUAAAUAAUACUUUUGAAAAAAGUAGUUAGUGAUUAACCUAGAUAGUUACUUCAAUUAUAUAUUAAUGCUUUAAAGAUUGCAGCUAUAACUAGAACAAACUUGCAUUUCAAGUUGCUUGUGGUAAUUUACAAAGCUCAACUUUGACUCUUAUUUGUGGAAUGACCUGUGUGUUGUACCUUCUUCACUGUAUUCAUUUGAAGAUGGCCUUUGUUGAACUCAUUCAUUUUUUCCCCUUCUAGCUAUUUAUAGAGCUUUAAAAGAUUUCCAGUUCAUUUUAAUGUUUUGGAAUUCUUAGAUCUAUAUUAGACACUGAUUGGAUACAUGAAACACCAAAAUCUCCUUUUUAGUAUGUAUCUAGAUAAUUUUAUAACUGUAAAGUUCAGG
RNAcentral lists this long non-coding RNA (4274 nucleotides) under Cricetulus griseus (Chinese hamster). RNAcentral describes it as "lncRNA (ENSCGRG00015040733.1)". Lineage: Eukaryota; Metazoa; Chordata; Mammalia; Rodentia; Cricetidae. The record is from RNAcentral.